Long non-coding RNA from Dromaius novaehollandiae (emu), 1399 nucleotides. RefSeq lists it as uncharacterized. Lineage: Eukaryota; Metazoa; Chordata; Aves; Casuariiformes; Dromaiidae. The record is from RefSeq and is a predicted model, not a curated record. The transcript is spliced from 2 exons.
GUUUGUUUUGCAACUAAUUAGAACUUCGUGCAAAAAGGGUGUCACAUCCUCCAGGCAAUUUGACUAAGUGUAUAAAAGCAUUUGCUAUGUCAAACUCUUCUGAUCGCUUUUCUUAAACUCUUCUCCUUGGUGAUCCAGGUCGACAUCCGUCCCAUGUCUCUCCACGAGUGCUGCCUGCCACCGGGGGUGAUCUGCCCUGAGCCCUUUGCCCUCACCUCCAGCGAGACUUGCGUCACUAAAUACCCCGACACGAUAGUGGACAUAGCGGACCCCAACUCGCCACCACGUUCUGUGAUUUAUCCCGGCCCAAUUCUCACCACUUUCCCGCAACAAACCAUAGUGGGAUCUACUGCCUUGUUCGAUCUUGGGAGCUUACUUGGUUCCAGGGGAUCUCUUGGGUUUAGGGGCUUGUGUGGUUCUGGGACAGCAUAUAACGCAGGAUUAUCACUUUUUGAUACAGGAAACUAUAAUCCUUCCUCUCCUCAAUUCUCCAAGUCAUUUUGCUAUAGACUUUGCAGGCCAACCUAAAUCCGCAUGAAUAUCCAUGGAUUAAAUGCAAAGCAGAAAUGAAAAGUAAGGCAGAUCACGACUGAGCUUAUGGAUAAUGGACUGUAGCAGUGCCAGGCUCCCACGGUUCCCAAGGGAGUCAAUAAAAUCAUGGCUUCCUGGCACUAGACCUGCAUGAGAACUAGAAUUUCCAGACUACAAGAAAUUUUGGUAUUUGAUCUUUAUUCAAAAUUAGGAUGAAAUAAAAAGGAAAUUUUCCAUGAAACAAAAUUUUCAAAAAAAUAUAUAUAUUGGCUUGGUAAAAAUGUUAAUUUUCAAUAAAUUAAUUUUUUUCUUCCAACAUUGACUUUUUAUUGUCAGUUCCUCUUGAAAUAAAAAGCAGAAAAUCAUAUUUUCAAAUUGUAUGAGUGAAAAUCUUGAGUUCUGAAAUGCAAUUUUAUCAAAAUAGAAAUUCACAUGUAUGUUUUUGCUGAAGCAGCAUUUACCAUUGGGGGGGGGGACUAUCAGCUCUACUUGGCAUUUCUUAAAAUCAGGCAUUUGUAAGUCUUGCUUGUGCUUCAUUUCCUCUUAGAUCCAUGAUGUAAUGGCUUCCCAGCUUAUUUUUCUGCCUAUGUUUCAUUUUAUGCAAACCAGGGCAAAAAAAAAAAAAAAAACAAACAAACAAACAAAAAAAACCACUUCAACACUUCAAGCAAUUGAAAUAAUAGAUUUUAUUGUAAAAUACUUCUGAUCAGCCAGAGAAAGAAGAACAACCUAUGCAAAAUCAUGGACCUGGAGAUUCAUUGUAGACCCUCAUGAAGUCCUGGAACUCUUCUGGCUUUAUCCUACCUACCUUAUUUUGCACGUGUAUAUUCAGCUUCUCAUUCCCAUUAAACAUUAUCAUGCAGCAUAA